AACAUCGCCCUUUGAAAAAAUAAUUAUAAAGGGUACUGCCUGCCCAGUGAUAAAAAUUAAACGGCCGCGGUACUUUGACCGUGCAAAGGUAGCAUAAUCAUUUGUUCUUUAAUUGAGGACUAGUAUGAAAGGCAAAACGAAAGCUUAACUGUCUCCUUUUUAAAAAAUGAAAUUAAUAUUUUUGUGAAGAAGCAAAAAUAAUAAAGUAAGACGAGAAGACCCUGUCGAGCUUAAGAAAAUUUUUAUAAUAAAAUUUUUAAAAGAUAAACAAAUUCUACUACAAAAAUAAAAUAAAAAUAUCUUUGGUUGGGGCAACCACGAAGAAAAAAAAACCUUCGUUCAAAAAAAGAAAUUCACAAAUUUAAAAAUUAUAAAAAAUUUUAAAGAUCCAGAAAAUUCUGAUCAAAGAAAAAAGUUACCGCAGGGAUAACAGCGUUAUUCUCUUUAAGAGCUCUUAUUGACAAGAGAGUUUGCGACCUCGAUGUUGGACCGGGGCACCCAAGAGGUGUAGAAGCCUCUAAAGGUAGGUCUGUUCGACCUUUAAAGCCCUACGUGAU
RNAcentral lists this ribosomal RNA (557 nucleotides) under Dichrometra brachypecha. RNAcentral describes it as "partial large subunit ribosomal RNA". It matches the Rfam family "Bacterial large subunit ribosomal RNA", at positions 1812 to 2604 of the family's 2925-position model. The record is from RNAcentral. Lineage: Eukaryota; Metazoa; Echinodermata; Crinoidea; Comatulida; Mariametridae.